This 817-nucleotide long non-coding RNA is filed under the name Physcomitrium patens. RNAcentral describes it as "long non-coding RNA (PPAT_LNC010037)". The record is from RNAcentral. Lineage: Eukaryota; Viridiplantae; Streptophyta; Bryopsida; Funariales; Funariaceae.
AUGUAUUCUUAUUAACUUUUACAACAAAUUUCAACUGCAAAUUCAUUGCGAAUCUUGAGAUAUCUUGAAAACUCUAAAAAUCACUUCAAAUCCUUGUCUUUAUAUACCUACAUGGAAUUUUCUUCAUAUCUCACAAAAUAUAAGCUCAAAUGCCAUGAAAUUUAUAUGUAUAGCUUCUUAAUACAAAAUUUUAUAUUUUACAAAAUGUUUGAGCUAAAAAUUCUUCCGAAAACUCAAGUUAUGGCUCCAACCAUUACUAUAAAUAAAACCGCUCACUUACUACCUUUGAUUUGGAAGCGCCGCCUUCAACUCCUUAUAACUCCUUUACAUGAACUCUAAAAGCAAUAAUUUUUUCAUGAAAGAUGUAGGCCUUAAAAUCUCUAUUCUAUUCACACCUUUCGAUCUUCAAAAGCUACUGUAAAACUCCUCGUAUCCUCAAAAGAGUAACAAUAUGUCUUAAAUUAAUACCUUAACUUCAAAUGGCUAUAACUUCUUCAUCCUAACUCCAAAUCCUAUAAUUUUUAUACACAAAUUCUACCCCAAAUCCAAAACUUUACAAACCUAGCUUUUAAACUCUGAAUGAUUUAUUUGAAGUCGCCAAAACCCUUGUUAAGGUCACAAGCAACCUCCUCAAAGUCCAUUUGGCAUGGUAUUCGACAAAUAGGGAUGAAGUUCUCCAUUCCUUGCCGUCAUCCGACCAUGCCUUGCUUUCAUCCCUCUCAAUUAGCCUUCUAUUAGUUUAGAUUUUCAUCCUCAUGCUUCCACCUUCUGCCAAGGCUUCAUACUAAAUAUUUUGGUUGUAUAUUUUUUUUUAAUG